Molecule: ribosomal RNA, 794 nt
Filed under: Haptophyta environmental samples
Lineage: Eukaryota; Haptophyta
Description: eukaryotic LSU rRNA
Rfam family: Eukaryotic large subunit ribosomal RNA
Source: RNAcentral
GCCUCUCGAAUUGUAGUCUAGAAAGGCGCCAUCGGCCGCAGCCGCCGCUCAAAUCCCUUGGAACAGGGUAUCGGAGAAGGUGAGAAUCCUGUGCCGUGGCGGAUUGCGGCCGCACGAUGCGCUCUUGUCGAGUCGGGUUGCUUGGGAUUGCAGCUUGAAGUGGGUGGUAAAUUCCAUCUAAAGCUAAAUACGGGCGAGAGACCGAUAGCGAACAAGUACCGUGAGGGAAAGAUGCAAAGAACUUUGAAAAGAGAGUCAAAGAGUGCUUGAAAUUGGCAAGAGGAAACCCGGUUGCGCCCAGUGUCGGCGGUUCGAUUCAGCCGCGCGUCCUCGCGUGGUGCACUUUGGAUCGCCGGGUCAGCCGCCGCACGUGACGUGUCAGAACGCGUUCGGUCUGUUCUCGGACGACCGUUCGAUUCGUCGCGUUUCGUGCGCCGGCUGACGGAAUGGGCGCCACCGACCCGUCUAGAAACACGGACCAAGGAGUCUGACACGUGUGCGAGUACCCGGGUGGCAAGCCCGCGUGCGCAAUGAAAGUGAAGGGCGUGCCCCACCAACCGACCUUGACCUUCUGCGAAGGGUUUGAGUGGAGCACAUCUGUCGGGACCCGAAAGAUGGUGAACUAUGCCUGUAUAGGUUGAAGUCUGCUGAAAGGCAGAUGGAGGGCCGUAGCGAUACUGACGUGCAAAUCGUUCGUCAAAUAUGGGUAUAGGGGCGAAAGACUAAUCGAACCAUCUAGUAGCUGGUUCCCUCCGAAGUUUCCCUCAGGAUAGCUUGAACGCCGACGGUUUUGU